This 513-nucleotide long non-coding RNA is filed under the name Apteryx owenii (little spotted kiwi). Its description in RNAcentral is "lncRNA (ENSAOWG00000007068.1)". The record is from RNAcentral. Lineage: Eukaryota; Metazoa; Chordata; Aves; Apterygiformes; Apterygidae.
CACAAGAUAAGCUUCUGGCAGACCUGAUGGUAGACUCUUCAUACGUUUUCUAGUCUAGUGGUGUUUUAAUGUUUCUUGCCUCAAGAGUUACUUCCUUGUAAUCUGAUCCUCCUCUCAUACUGCUGCAACAUUAUUUCCUGCAUGAAUGCUUACGUUAUGGGGCUGAAGGAAGUACAGAGAGAAAGACCACCUCUCCAAUGCCUCCCCAUGUAGACUAGAUUUCCUGCCAUAACGACAUUUUUACUGAUGGUCCAGCAGAAAGACAACACACAGCACAGCAAUAUAGAGGGACCCCAGCUACUCCCUCCAUUCAAAAUCUACUGUGAAACUCUCACUGAAGGCAAUAAGGGAAGAUUUAGACCUUCUAAUUCAAUUCAUGCAACCGCUGAGUUACUGCAUAAGGAACACUUCACCACUCUGGAAGAAAGAAGCUGCUGCAUUUGGUGGAGCCAAAACCUGCAAACAUGCUCUGAGAAUGCCUGCAUGAGCAAAAAGCAGAUAAACACCAUCUGA